RNAcentral lists this ribosomal RNA (1617 nucleotides) under metagenome. Its description in RNAcentral is "bacterial LSU rRNA". It matches the Rfam family "Bacterial large subunit ribosomal RNA", at positions 1292 to 2925 of the family's 2925-position model. The record is from RNAcentral.
AAAUGUUGGCAUGAGUAGCGAGACGUGGGUGAGAAUCCCACGGGCCGUAAACCCAAGGUUUCCAGGGGAAGGUUCGUCCGCCCUGGGUUAGUCGGGACCUAAGCCGAGGCCGAAAGGCGUAGGUGAUGGACAACAGGUUGAUAUUCCUGUACCGCCAAUAAGCGUUUGAGAGAUGGAGUGACACAGUAGGAUAAGCUAACCGUACUGUUGGUUAUGUACGGCUAAGCAUUGAGGCAGUCUAAAUAGGCAAAUCCGUUUAGGCAAUGCUAGGAUGUGAUGGGGAAGCCCUUCGGGGCGAAGUAGCUGAUUUCACACUGUCAAGAAAAGCUUCUAUCGAGUUUAAAGGCGCCCGUACCGUAAACCGACACAGGUGGGUGAGGAGAGUAUCCUAAGGCCAGCGAGAGAACUAUUGUUAAGGAACUCGGCAAAAUGACCCCGUAACUUAGGGAGAAGGGGUGCCUGUCUAUGACAGGCCGCAGAGAAUAGGCCCAAGCGACUGUUUACCAAAAACACAGGUUUCUGCUAAGUCGCAAGACGAUGUAUAGGAGCUGACGCCUGCCCGGUGCUGGAAGGUUAAGGGGAUCUGUUAGAGCAAUCGAAGCAGUGAACUAAAGCCCCAGUAAACGGCGGCCGUAACAAUAACGGUCCUAAGGUAGCGAAAUUCCUUGUCGGGUAAGUUCCGACCCGCACGAAAGGCGUAACGAUUUGGGCACUGUCUCAAUAAUAGACUCGGUGAAAUUGUAAUCCCGGUGAAGAUGCCGGGUACCUGCGACAGGACGGAAAGACCCCAUGGAGCUUUACUGUAGCUUGACGUUGGGUCUUGGUACUACAUGUACAGGAUAGGUGGGAGACUAUGAAGCAUGGACGCCAGUCUGUGUGGAGUCAUCCUUGGGAUACCACCCUUGUAGUACUGGGAUCCUAACCAUAGGCCUUGAAUCAGGUCUUGGAACACCGUCAGGUGGGCAGUUUGACUGGGGCGGUCGCCUCCUAAAAAGUAACGGAGGCGCUCAAAGGUUUCCUCAGCACGGUCGGAAAUCGUGCGAAGAGUGUAAAGGCAAAAGGAAGCUUGAUUGCAAGACAUACAGGUCGAGCAAGGACGAAAGUCGGACUUAGUGAUCCGGUGGUACCGCAUGGAAGGGCCAUCGCUCAACGGAUAAAAGCUACCCUGGGGAUAACAGGCUUAUCUCCCCCAAGAGUCCACAUCGACGGGGAGGUUUGGCACCUCGAUGUCGGCUCAUCACAUCCUGGGGCUGUAGUAGGUCCCAAGGGUUGGGCUGUUCGCCCAUUAAAGUGGUACGCGAGCUGGGUUCAGAACGUCGUGAGACAGUUCGGUCCCUAUCCGUCGCAGGCGUAGGAAAUUUGAGAAGACCUGUCCUUAGUACGAGAGGACCGGGAUGGACGUACCUCUGGUGUACCAGUUGUUCUGCCAAGGGCAUGGCUGGGUAGCUAUGUACGGAAUGGAUAAGCGCUGAAAGCAUCUAAGCGCGAAGCCAACUUCAAGAUAAGAUUUCCCACCGUAAGGGUAAGACCCCAGGAAGACUACCUGGUUGAUAGGUCGAAGGUGUAAGUGCAGUAAUGUAUUUAGCUUAUCGAUACUAAUAGGUCGAGGACUUGACC